This 865-nucleotide long non-coding RNA is filed under the name Rattus norvegicus (Norway rat). RNAcentral describes it as "long non-coding RNA NONRATT029740". The record is from RNAcentral. Lineage: Eukaryota; Metazoa; Chordata; Mammalia; Rodentia; Muridae.
GCAAUUGCAGCUACUGUGAGAGUUAGUUGGUAAUGUUCCAAGGAUACCAUUCUGUAUUUCUGUUUCUUACAGUCUAAAAUUUCUGUCAUCCAUAUUCCUUAUUCCCUGAGCCUUAGAGCCUUAGAGGGGCAUCAAAGAUGUUCUGUUCAGGUGUGAGCAUUCAACCACGUCUUUCUUAUUCUAAGCAUCUUGAGGAGCCGGUCUCUGCAAUCACGGAUGUUCACUGCAGAUAGAAGCUUCUCUGGUUGAAUAUGAGUCCUAUUUGUGUACGUAUAAAUAUAAACUUAAAAUGCAGUCUAGUCCUAUGUCAUCAGUUCCUCCACUGGCCUUUGGUUAUGGCUUUUGACUAGGUUUAUAGUAGCAGGCAUUUAUUUUCUCCUGUCGAAUGGGCUACAAACCUCACCUUUCCUCCUAAUCCACCACUAACCUGAACAAAAGAUGCGAUGCCAGACAGAUGAGGCCUUUUUCUCCCUGGACUUGCUGCUUACUUCCUGUCUGAAAUCUCUUACUCGAGCCUUCCCAGGUGUGUGCUUUGGUCAUGUUGCUUAUGAUGGGAUAUCUCUUCUGUAUGUGGCAAAUAAUAUUGUGCCACGUGUGUGCGUGUGUAUGUGUGUGUGUGUGUGUGUGUGUGUGUGUGUGUGUGUGUGUGUGUGAGAGAGAGAGAGAGAGAGAGAGAGAGAGAGAGAAAGAAAGAGAGAGUGUGAGUAUUGCUCUACAGCAGUAGCUACCCUGGAAUUGACUUUAAAAUCAUGGCAACCCAGUGCUUCUGUUUAUCUAUUUUCUUUACAGGAAUCGUCCAUGUAGGGGUUUCUGUGUUGACUACUAUAAACAAGCACACUAAGACAGGUAUCUCUCCAGACCCUCA